RNAcentral lists this long non-coding RNA (4738 nucleotides) under Homo sapiens (human). RNAcentral describes it as "non-protein coding LUCAT1:21". The record is from RNAcentral. Lineage: Eukaryota; Metazoa; Chordata; Mammalia; Primates; Hominidae.
AAUCAACACUCCACUCAGACAAUGCCCAGACCUCCAGAAACCAUGUGUCAAGCUCGGAUUGCCUUAGACAGGUGCAAUUUAAGAACAGCUUUCAUCCUCUUUUCUCUCAUAUUGUCACACUAUGUGUUCUGACUUCUGGCUCCUUUCCUCACAAGAAGCUCACCCAGCUGGAACUCUUAUGGGACCUUGGCACCAGAGACCACAAAUUCCUCUUUGAAGUUUUCUAACAGCAACAAUGGUAUUUCUGACUUGGCUUUCUUGUAUUUCUCUCACGUUAACAAAAUUGGUUCAGCAUCUACCAUGGGCUACAUGCUGAGCUACAGAGUUUCGCUCUGUCGCCCAGGCUGGAGUGCAGUGGCGCGCGAUCUCGGUUCACUGCAAGCUCCACCUCCCGGGUUCACGCCAUUCUCCUGCCUCAGCCUCCUGAGUAGCUGGGACUACAGGCGCCCGCCACCACACCCAGGAAUCCAACUUGCUGUUUGCUAUCACAUGUGCUAUACAUGCUGUUGAUGAAACUGCUAAAGGGGCUGAAUGUGACUGACGUCUUUGGAAGGAUGAGACUUAGCGUGCCUGUACAGUUGUGUCCAAAUGCUGUCCUCAUCUCCCAAUGAAAAGCAUUGCCAGCAGCAUUCAGUACAUUCAGAACAGGAUAAUUUCACCCGCAGCUGAACUAGGGCCAUGCCUGGGACAGACAGAGAAUGGCCUUCCAGCAGACAUGCCAAGAAGCAAGCCAGGGUCAGUGAGUGAAGAGGAGGGCAGGCCCAUUUGAAGCAACACAGUUUAUGUAAGUGUGAUCUAACUGCUUUCACUGGAAAUGGGUCAGACUCCAGUUGAGAGAACCAGGGGCCUGAAUGACCCCAGCAAAAUCACUGUGGCAAUUCUUUCAAUCACCUCUGAGAAUAUGGCCCUGUGACGACAUAAUGACGUUUGGAUUAAUUCCAGUCGGCUGUGUUUUCCCCUCCUUUCUUGCCUCCCCGUAGUUGAUUUGCCAAAUUUUUUUUGUUUGCUUAAAUACGCGGAACUAAACAGGAUACAUUAUAUGACAGUCUGUGAUAAAUUUACCACUGGGAAUAGGGAAAAAGUAUGGGAUAAAGAAAUAGGUAUUUUUCGCCUCUCACAGCUGUGAUUCAGUUCUGACUCAAAAGGAAGUGUGCCACCUACUGAAUCACAGAAACCACUUCCUGUGGCUGUUUGGUUUAUUCUGGAGGAGCAUCAGGCCAAGUGCUGCCCUGCCCUGACCCUGACUGGCUCUUCAGAGCCAAGGCAUUCACAGCUUGAGGUGGUUUGGCCUCAGACUCUUGAGAACAUUGCAUAUUAAAUUACAAGUGUUUCGUUUCCUAGCAAGGAGUCUUUAGCAACAUGAAAACGAACGUGUGUUAUUUGCAAACCAAGUAUAUCAUUACUGAACCUGAAUAUCCUUACUUUUUCAUAAGGUACGUAUUCCGGAUGACCACUCUUAAGAUCUGAAUGUACACUGGUUCUGUUUUUCCUGAGGGGAACUUGGGCAGUCUGCAGGGUGGCAUUUACCAGCUGAGGGACUUCAAGAGCACCCUUUAAUCAGUGUGGCAGCACUCAACUUGUAUUCACUCACUCAGAGUAUUUUUGAGCAUGUACUUAUUGCCAUGUGCUGUGCUAGGUAGGGGUAGAGGGUACAGUGGUGAACAAGACCCCACAGCUCCUGACCUCAUGGCUCAUGUGUUCUACACCAUAAGGGAAUCAAGCUGUGUCUCCCGGGGCAGGGGCCUUCCUCUGUUCACCAUGCAGCCCCAGCAUCUAGCACCUGGCGUUGCAUAAAGGAGGCUCUAAAUCAAGCUUGUCCAACCCAAGGCCCACGGGCCACAUGUGGCCCAGGAUGGCUUUGAAUGCAGCCAAACACAAAUUUGUAAACUUUCUUAAAACAUUAUAAGAUUUGUGUGUAUGUGUUUUAGUCCAUCAGCUAUUGUUAGUGUUCAUGUAUUUUAUGUGUGGCCCAAGACAAUUCUUCUAUGUGGCCCAAGGAAACCAAAGAUUGAACACUCCUGCUCUAAAUACUUGUUUGUUGAAUAGAUACAUGAAAAGAAAGAAGGAGAGAAGGAAGAAAGGAGGGCGGAAGGAAAGGAAGAAGGGAGAGAAGAAGAGAAGAAAGAAGCAGAGAAAGGAAGAGAAAAGAAAUUACGGCCAGUGCGGUGGCUCACGCCUGUAAUCCUAGCACUUUGGGAGGCCUAAGCGGGCUGAUCACCUGAGGUCAGGAGUUCGUAAGCCAGCCUGGCCAACAUGGUGAAACCCUAUCUCUACUAAAAAUACAAAAAUCAGCAGGGCAUGGUGGUGCGUGCCUGUAAUCCCAGCUACCUGGGAGGCUGAGGUAGGAGAAUCGCUGGAACCCGAGAGGCGGAGGCUGCAGUGAGUUGAGAUCAUGUCACUGCACUCCAGGCUGGGCAACAGAGUGAGACUCUGUCUCAGAAAAAAAAAAAAAGAAAGAAAGAAAGAAAGAAAGUUACCAUUAGUUUUUUGUUGUAUUUGCAAGCAAAGACAAAAGCACCAAGGAACAAAACCCAUCAGAAGAUGUCAGAAGAUAAGGAUUUUUGUCCUGAUGCUACACUUACCAGCUGUCCCUCAGUGUUCUACUUCUUAAAAAAAGAGAGAUGGAUAAACAGAGGCAACCCGAGGAUAAAGGCCUUGCUCAGUGUCACACAUUUCAGUCACUAAAUAAGACACAAUGGAUGCCAGUAUUCUCAUCCCCUCACAAAUAAAGAGCCUUCAAGCUCUUGCAGUCAACAAGAACUUUUGGAAUGAUUUCACUGCCUGAAAAGGCAGAUACAUAGGUGACACCCACAAAUAGGAAGAAAAUCAACCUGAACCUGAGUGUGUGGGCUCACUGACUCUAAGCAGUAGAGACAGAAGAAAAAGUUUUAGCAAAGAAGGGUUCUGAAAGAAAAUAAAUAUAGCUCGUUAUCAAGUGCUGUUUUUACACAGUAAAACAUGGGCAAAAUUACUCUUCUUUAAGUAGUAAUUCUUAUCUCUUGAUUAAGUCACCUACUCAUUCAUUUAAUAAAUACAUACUGAUUGUUUUCUAUGUGUUGAGCACUCAUCUCUGUAUUGGAAAUAUAAUAAUGACCAAAGUUGACAAUAGUAAUAACAAUAAUAGCUAAUAUAGCAGGCACUAAUAAUUAUUUGUUGAGUAAUAUGUCAAAAUUCAGUGUGAACAGCAUUCUAUUUGGGGCUGCAUCCACUGACUAUAACACAGCUAAUCUAUCUGAAAUGUUCCAGCUUUGGGCCUCUCUAACAGAAGAAGCUGUUGUUGGGCCUGCCUCUAGUUGGCGAUGCAUCCACCAAUGAGAAUGAAUUUAUGAUCGACCACUCUUCCUGUAAAGGCCGCUGGAACUGACAGCAUUGUGAUUUUCUUUUACUGUUAGUUUUAAAUUACUAGAACCAACUCAAUUACUAGAACGAACUUUACUUCUUUGUUUCCUACUUAUCAAAACAGUAAAAACAACAAGUAAAAGAAAUGCCAUCUUAAUAUUGUUUUGAUGACAAAACAGUAUUCCUUUUAGUUGUGCUUCAAAUGGAAUAAGAUGCAAACAGGCUUGGUAUGGUGGCUCACCCCUGUAAUCCCAGCCCUUUGGGAGGCCAAGGUGGAAGGAUUGCUUGAGGCCAUGAGUUUGAGACCAGCCUGCGCAACAUAGCAAGACCGUGUCUCUACAAAAAAUAAAAAAUUAGCUGAGUGUAGUGGUGUGUGCUUGUGGUCCCAGCUACUUUUGAGGCUGAGGAGGGAGAAUCUCUUGAGCCCAGAAGGUCGAAGUUGCAGUGAGCCGUGAUCGUGCCAUUGCUCUCCAGCUUGGACAACAAAGCAAGACCCUAUGUCAAAAAAUAAAUAAAUAAAAGACAUAAACAUAUCUGAGAUUAACUUUCAGUGGUAAAUUUGUUCCAUAUAUGAUUUUUAAGGUUAAAUGCUUUGGAAGCUUUAAAAACCAUUUCAGCCCUUUUAAAUGCCAACUUACACUGAUGAUGCUCUCAGAUGUUAGGAAAUCUUUUGAGCAGAAAAUGGAAGUGGGGGUGUUGAGGCAGGGAGGAGAGUGAUGCAAUAUUCCUUAGUGUCAUCCUGUGAUUUCACAAUUUGUUUUUCAAUCUGUUUGGACUUUCAAAAGGGAAGACUCUCAUAUGUCAACAAGCCCAUGAACUGAAGCUUAAAACACUGGAAACAACAACUGUAGAGUUUCAAGUAUAUGUACAUUUAUGUAUUCAUGUUCCUUGAUGGGAAUGCUGGCUGGUGUGAAUGUUCAAUCUCCUGAGAAAUGUAAAUUUUUCUCUGACAGAUUUAUUAGCUUGCUGUAUCUGAGCACAUGAGCAAAAACAAUGCCUAAUAAGAAAACUUUCUCUCUCCUUCAAAGUCAAACUUGGGAGAAAUGAAGGGAAAUCGAGUUUUCUUUGCUUGACAGUGUUCAACAUUCUUGUAGUCAGUGUGCUCAUGAAGAUUGCAAACUUUUUUUUUUUUUUAGAGCAGCUAGGACUACAGGCGCGCACCACCACACCCAGCUAAUUUGUGUAUUUUUAGUAGAGAUGGGGUUUUAACUAUGUUGGCCAAGCUUGUCUCAAACUCCUGACCUCAAGUGAUCCAUUCGACAGCUCUUUCUUUUUUUUUUUUUUUUUUGAGACAAAGUCUCGCUCUGUCACCCAGGCUGGAGUGCAGUGGUAUGAUCUCAGCUCACUGCAACCUCCGCCUCCUGGGUUCAAGCAAUUCUCAUGCCUUAGCCUCCCGAAU